Long non-coding RNA from Capsicum annuum, 823 nucleotides. RefSeq lists it as uncharacterized. The transcript is spliced from 2 exons. Lineage: Eukaryota; Viridiplantae; Streptophyta; Magnoliopsida; Solanales; Solanaceae. The record is from RefSeq and is a predicted model, not a curated record.
UUGAUUUUUUUUUAAAAUGAAAAUAUGAUGAUUUUAAAGAAGUUAGAAAAAUAUAAAAAAAUUAAUAAUAAAGGGUAAAAUAGGAAAAAAGAAAGUAUGAUAAUUGUUUAAAGUUGAGAGGAGUUUGAUUUUUAUGAGUAGCCCAGCGGCAGCAGGUAAUGGACUCAAGUUCCUCCGCCCAAAACUCCGUCCCCAAUCCACUGAUAUCCAGGCCGCCGCCAUGUGGGGCGUCGCCGCCAUUACCAGCGCCCUCUAUGUCAUCCAUCCAUGGGAUUUUUUGAGGAAGACAUUUAUUGAGAAGCAGGAAGAGGAGAAGUGAGCAAGGCUGUCGAAGAAGCUGGUAGCUAACUGAUAUCAUUUUUCGUGAUAAGCAAUCCUUGAGCAGGAUGAAAGUCAAUAUACAUUUUUAUUUCAUGUUCCUCAUUAGUACAAUCACGAUGCUUUGAUGGCUAGCUGCUGCAAUCAAUUUUCCGAUUUGGAUUUAUUUUCAAAAAAAAAAAAAACUACUCUCCCUCAUCUUCACUCUUCACAUAUGAGUUUCUUUUUUCCAGCAGAUAUUCGAGGACGCUUUGGUGUAGUAAUUUCUGGUCAAAGUUCUUUUUGUCUCAAUAUCCAUCUCUCUUCAAAUGAAACAAGCGCAACUGUGUUUCCUCGAGGAAGAUAAGCUCCCCUACCCAGUGUACAACUGAUCAAUCAUAUUCCGAUUUAGAACAAGAUAUGUCAAAAUGUGGUGCGGACCAAUAUGGUAGAAUCUUCACUUCAUGUACUUUGGAUGGUUCAAGUGAUCAGAUUCAGACUGCUAAGGAGUUUUAGUCUAUAAGGG